ACUUAGGUGGCGGACGGGUGAGUAACGCGUGGGCAACCUGCCGUAUGCAGGGGGAUAACAGCGGGUAAACUGCUGCUAAUAACCGCAUAAGCGCACAGCACCGCAUGGUGCAGUGUGAAAAAGCCGAGACGGCAUACGAUGGACCCGCGUCUGAUUAGCCAGUUGGCAGGGUAACGGCCUACCAAAGCGACGAUCAGUAGCCGGCCUGAGAGGGUGGACGGCCACAUUGGGACUGAGACACGGCCCAAACUCCUACGGGAGGCAGCAGUGGGGGAUAUUGCACAAUGGGGGAAACCCUGGAUGCUAAGCGACGCCGCGUGAGCGAAGUAAGUAUUUCGGUAUGUAAAGCUCUGUCAGCAGGGAAGAAAAUGACGGUACCUGACCAAGAAGCUCCGGCUAAAUACGUGCCAGCCGCCGC
Molecule: ribosomal RNA, 418 nt
Filed under: uncultured bacterium
Lineage: Bacteria
Description: bacterial SSU rRNA
Rfam family: Bacterial small subunit ribosomal RNA
Source: RNAcentral